RNAcentral lists this long non-coding RNA (1975 nucleotides) under Triticum aestivum (bread wheat). RNAcentral's name for it is "long non-coding RNA (TAES_LNC001183)". Lineage: Eukaryota; Viridiplantae; Streptophyta; Magnoliopsida; Poales; Poaceae. The record is from RNAcentral.
AGAAAGAACGUAAAAUGUUUCUGGAUUACUUCCAACAAUCAACAAGCAAGAAAAUUCAGUAAUCUCCAGUGAACAAGAAAAUUGCUAAAGAUUGAUUGUUGAUUACAAUGGUCAUGGAAAUUACAAGACGUUCAGAAUUUUCUUGAUCAUCAAGAAGCACAAAGAAUUAGACUACGUUCAGAACUUUCUUGAUUACCUAACCAGCAAGCAAUAUGACUACAGAAAAUCCGGAGUUCUGAUGAUACCAAGAUCCACAGAUCUUCUGUAACAAUGGAGAUGGAGUUCUAACAACAUUCUUGAUCCAUGUGCCGGAAAACGCAAAAAAAAAGGUACACGAAGAAUGUAUAAUCUGUGUGAAUGCUUCCAACAAGCAAAGCAAAUUCAGAAACACCCACUAGUAUUUAUUUUCUUUUGCAAAAAUAAAUAAAUAGCCAUGAGUACUGAAACAAGCGUUCGAAUCCCAGCUGUUUCAGAAUUCAGAUUCAGUGCAAACAACUGGAAAAGGCUGCUUUGUUUUGACAGCGUUUGGCCCUGGAAGAUCAUGAGCAACUUUUCGAUUUUUUGUUGGAAGAUCAUGAGUAACUGAAGUACUGAAUCCAAGCAGAUCAGGAGUAACUGAAGCACAUCGACAAGCAAGAAAUCUUUCUGGGUUACUUCGAACAACCAACAAGCAAGGAAGUUCGGUAAUCUCCAGUGAACAAGAAAAUUGCUAAACAUUGAUUUGUUGAUUACAAUGGUCAUGCAAAUUACAAGACGUUCAGAAUUUUCUUGAUCAUCAAGAAGCACAAAGAAUUACACUAAUUUCAGAACUUUCUUGAUUACCUAACCAGCAAGUAAGACGAUUACAGAAAAUCCAAAGCUCUGUUGAUACCAAGAUCCAAUGGAGUCCUAACAACAUUCUCGAUCAGCCAGAGCUUCCAUUACAAGUCAAAUCCCAUUCCAAGGAGAUCAGGAGUAACAAGCAAGAGAAAAGGUACUAGAAAGAACGUAAAAUCUUUAUGGAUUACUUCCAACAAUCAACAAGCAAGACAGUUCAGUAAUCUCCAGUGAACAAGGAAAUUGCUAAAGAUUGAUUGUUGAUUACAAUGGUCAUGGAAAUUACAAGACGUUCAGAAUUUUCUUGAUCAUCAAGAAGCACAAAGAAUUAGACUACGUUCAGAACUUUCUUGAUUACCUAACCAGCAAGCAAUACAACUACAGAAAAUCCGGAGUUCUGAUGAUACCAAGAUCCACAGAUCUUCUGUAACAAUGGAGAUGGAGUUCUAACAACAUUCUUGAUCCAUGUGCCGGAAAACGCAAAAAAAAAAGGUACACGAAGAAUGUAUAAUCUGUGUGAAUGCUUCCAACAAGCAAAGCAAAUUCAGAAACACCCACUAGUAUUUAUUUUCUUUUGCAAAAAUAAAUAAAUAGCCAUGAGUACUGAAACAAGCGUUCGAAUCCCAGCUGUUUCAGAAUUCAGAUUCAGUGCAAACAACUGGAAAAUGCUGCUUUGUUUUGACAGCGUUUGGCCCUGGAAGAUCAUGAGCAACUUUUCGAUUUUUUGUUGGAAGAUCAUGAGUAACUCAAGUACUGAAUCCAAGCAGAUCAGGAGUAACUGAAGUGCAUCGACAAGCAAGAAAAAGGUACAACCAACAAGCAAGGUAGUUCAGUAAUCUCCAGUGAACAAGAAAAUUGCUAAAGAUUGAUUUGUUGAUUACAAUGGUCAUGCAAAUUACAAGACGUUCAGAAUUUUCUUGAUCAUCAAGAAGCACAAAGCAUUACACUAAGUCCAGAACUUUCUUGAUUACCUAACCAGCAAGCAAGACGAUUACAGAAAAUCCAGCGCUCUGUUGAUACCAAGAUCCAAUGGAGUCCUAACAACAUUCUCGAUCAGCCAGAGCUUCCAUUACAAGUCAAAUCCCACUAGGAAAAUUCCCCACGAUCAGCAAAAAGUAAGACGAGAGAACAACAAGUCUAAGCAAAUCUACAUCCGGUA